This is a ribosomal RNA of 1326 nucleotides. It matches the Rfam family "Bacterial small subunit ribosomal RNA", at positions 82 to 1418 of the family's 1533-position model.
GCUGGGUGGAUUAGUGGCGAACGGGUGAGUAACACGUGAGUAACCUGCCCUUAACUCUGGGAUAAGCCUGGGAAACUGGGUCUAAUACCGGAUAGGAGCGUCCACCGCAUGGUGGGUGUUGGAAAGAUUUAUCGGUUUUGGAUGGACUCGCGGCCUAUCAGCUUGUUGGUGAGGUAAUGGCUCACCAAGGCGACGACGGGUAGCCGGCCUGAGAGGGUGACCGGCCACACUGGGACUGAGACACGGCCCAGACUCCUACGGGAGGCAGCAGUGGGGAAUAUUGCACAAUGGGCGAAAGCCUGAUGCAGCGACGCCGCGUGAGGGAUGACGGCCUUCGGGUUGUAAACCUCUUUCAGUAGGGAAGAAGCGAAAGUGACGGUACCUGCAGAAGAAGCACCGGCUAACUACGUGCCAGCAGCCGCGGUAAUACGUAGGGUGCGAGCGUUAUCCGGAAUUAUUGGGCGUAAAGAGCUCGUAGGCGGUUUGUCGCGUCUGUCGUGAAAGUCCGGGGCUUAACCCCGGAUCUGCGGUGGGUACGGGCAGACUAGAGUGCAGUAGGGGAGACUGGAAUUCCUGGUGUAGCGGUGGAAUGCGCAGAUAUCAGGAGGAACACCGAUGGCGAAGGCAGGUCUCUGGGCUGUAACUGACGCUGAGGAGCGAAAGCAUGGGGAGCGAACAGGAUUAGAUACCCUGGUAGUCCAUGCCGUAAACGUUGGGCACUAGGUGUGGGGACCAUUCCACGGUUUCCGCGCCGCAGCUAACGCAUUAAGUGCCCCGCCUGGGGAGUACGGCCGCAAGGCUAAAACUCAAAGGAAUUGACGGGGGCCCGCACAAGCGGCGGAGCAUGCGGGAUUAAUUCGAUGCAACGCGAAGAACCUUACCAGGGCUUGACAUUUUCUCGAUCGCCGUAGAGAUACGGUUUCCCCUUUGGGGCGGGUUCACAGGUGGUGCAUGGUUGUCGUCAGCUCGUGUCGUGAGAUGUUGGGUUAAGUCCCGCAACGAGCGCAACCCUCGUUCCAUGUUGCCAGCACGUAAUGGUGGGGACUCAUGGAAGACUGCCGGGGUCAACUCGGAGGAAGGUGAGGACGACGUCAAAUCAUCAUGCCCCUUAUGUCUUGGGCUUCACGCAUGCUACAAUGGCCGGUACAAUGGGUUGCGAUACUGUGAGGUGGAGCUAAUCCCAAAAAGCCGGUCUCAGUUCGGAUUGGGGUCUGCAACUCGACCCCAUGAAGUCGGAGUCGCUAGUAAUCGCAGAUCAGCAACGCUGCGGUGAAUACGUUCCCGGGCCUUGUACACACCGCCCGUCAAGUCACGAAAGUUGGUAAC